AGGACACAGUACCUGAGAAGCAGAGGCAUCUUAGUUUGGAAGCUUGAUAACAGAGGAACUGCAAGACGUGGGCUGAAGUUUGAAUCUUGGAUCAAGAAUAACUGUGGAUAUGUUGAUGCAGAA
This is a non-coding RNA of Camelina sativa (false flax), 123 nucleotides long. The record is from RefSeq and is a predicted model, not a curated record. Lineage: Eukaryota; Viridiplantae; Streptophyta; Magnoliopsida; Brassicales; Brassicaceae.